Molecule: long non-coding RNA, 279 nt
Filed under: Homo sapiens (human)
Lineage: Eukaryota; Metazoa; Chordata; Mammalia; Primates; Hominidae
Description: HSALNT0314543
Source: RNAcentral
CUCUGUUUCCGUGCUGUGCUCCCUGGAAGGAAGUCUCCAUGUGCAGCCCACACUGAGGAAAGAGAGGGACUCAGCUGGUGCAACCCUUCCCCUUUCCUCUUUCUCCUUGCUUUGAACAUGGAUCUAAUGGCAGGAGCUAAGGCAGCCAUCUUGUGACCAUGAGGAAAGAGACUGACAGCAGUUUCAGCCGGGCAUGCCUCAGCCAUUGAACAGCACCUUAGAUUUCUCACGUGAGAAAAAUAAAUUCCUGUUUGUUUAAAUCACUGAAGUAGUUUUUUG